This 284-nucleotide ribosomal RNA is filed under the name Escherichia coli. RNAcentral describes it as "partial 23S ribosomal RNA". It matches the Rfam family "Bacterial large subunit ribosomal RNA", at positions 1 to 285 of the family's 2925-position model. Lineage: Bacteria; Pseudomonadati; Pseudomonadota; Gammaproteobacteria; Enterobacterales; Enterobacteriaceae. The record is from RNAcentral.
GGUUAAGCGACUAAGCGUACACGGUGGAUGCCCUGGCAGUCAGAGGCGAUGAAGGACGUGCUAAUCUGCGAUAAGCGUCGGUAAGGUGAUAUGAACCGUUAUAACCGGCGAUUUCCGAAUGGGGAAACCCAGUGUGAUUCGUCACACUAUCAUUAACUGAAUCCAUAGGUUAAUGAGGCGAACCGGGGGAACUGAAACAUCUAAGUACCCCGAGGAAAAGAAAUCAACCGAGAUUCCCCCAGUAGCGGCGAGCGAACGGGGAGUAGCCCAGAGCCUGAAUCAGU